Pantherophis guttatus is the source of this 384-nucleotide non-coding RNA. Lineage: Eukaryota; Metazoa; Chordata; Lepidosauria; Squamata; Colubridae. The record is from RefSeq and is a predicted model, not a curated record.
CCUAAAUCGAUGUGGAAGAAGGUGGAAAAACAGCAAAAUAUGAAAGAAGAAGGAAAGUGGAAAGGAAGAUGGAAAACAGCAACCAAGGUACAAAUAGGAAAAAGCCCCUUCUUCACAGCCCACUUAAAUGCUAUCCACAGAUUUCAGCCAAGAGGACUGAUGUUGACUACAGAGUACAUUUGCUGACCCAAAUUGUGAUCCCUAUCCUGCCAGGUUUCUUUGACAAAACUACACUUCAACCAAAACAACUGCAAGCAAAUCGCCAAACUCAGAGAGCACCAAGGACUCUACAGUUUUUACUCUCCAUGAUCUGACUUAGUGGAAGAUUCUUUCAUCUGUAGAUAUCAUGUUUUGGGGUCCUAGGAAUAAAAAAUCUUACUUGUC